CAAAGGCUUGGUCCUGACUUUACUAUCAACUUUAACCAAAUUUAUACAUGCAAGUAUCCGCGCCCCUGUGAGAAUGCCCUAACAGUUCCCUGCCUGGGAACAAGGAGCUGGUAUCAGGCACAUUAAAUAGCCCACGACACCUUGCUUAGCCACACCCUCAAGGGAGUUCAGCAGUAAUAAACAUUAAGCCAUAAGUGAAAACUUGACUUAGUUAAAGUUAUUUAGGGCCGGUAAAACUCGUGCCAGCCACCGCGGUUAUACGAGAGGCCCAAGUUGAUAGAUCUCGGCGUAAAGCGUGGUUAAAAUAAACAAUAACUAAGACCGAAUACUUUUAGCACUGUUAUACGUAUUCAAAAGUUAGAAGCCCAGCUACGAAGGUGGUCUUAAAUGUUUGAACCCACGAAAGCUAUGGAACAAACUGGGAUUAGAUACCCCACUAUGCAUAGCCCUAAACAUUGGUAGUGUACUACAACCACUACCCGCCCGGGUACUACGAGCACCAGCUUAAAACCCAAAGGACUUGGCGGUGCUUUAGAUCCACCUAGAGGAGCCUGUUCUAGAACCGAUAAUCCCCGUCUAACCUCACCUCUCCUUGCUUUCCCCGCCUAUAUACCGCCGUCGUCAGCUUACCCUGUGAAGGACUAAUAGUAAGCAAAACUAGUACAACCCAGAACGUCAGGUCGAGGUGUAGCGUAUGGAGAGGGAAGAAAUGGGCUACAUUUCCUUAUAUAAGGAAAUACGAAUUGUAUGCUGAAACGCAUUUUUGAAGGAGGAUUUAGUAGUAAGCAGAAAAUAGAGCGUUCUGCUGAAAUUGGCCCUGAAGCGCGCACACACCGCCCGUCACUCUCCCCUAAAAACUUUCUGUAAAUAACUAAUAAACGCCACUAAUAAAGGGGAGGCAAGUCGUAACAUGGUAAGUGUACCGGAAGGUGCGCUUGGAAUAAU
This 945-nucleotide non-coding RNA is filed under the name Minous monodactylus (grey stingfish). RNAcentral describes it as "12S ribosomal RNA". It matches the Rfam family "Bacterial small subunit ribosomal RNA". The record is from RNAcentral. Lineage: Eukaryota; Metazoa; Chordata; Actinopteri; Perciformes; Synanceiidae.